UAGGUGGAUAGUGGCGACGGGUGAGUAACACGUGGGCAAUCUGCCCUGCACUCUGGGACAAGCCCUGGAAACGGGGUCUAAUACCGGAUAAUACUGUGCCCCUCAUGGGGGAUGGUUGAAAGCUCCGGCGGUGCAGGAUGAGCCCGCGGCCUAUCAGCUUGUUGGUGGGGUGAUGGCCUACCAAGGCGACGACGGGUAGCCGGCCUGAGAGGGCGACCGGCCACACUGGGACUGAGACACGGCCCAGACUCCUACGGGAGGCAGCAGUGGGGAAUAUUGCACAAUGGGCGAAAGCCUGAUGCAGCGACGCCGCGUGAGGGAUGACGGCCUUCGGGUUGUAAACCUCUUUCAGCAGGGAAGAAGCGAGAGUGACGGUACCUGCAGAAGAAGCGCCGGCUAACUACGUGCCAGCAGCCGCGGUAAUACGUAGGGCGCAAGCGUUGUCCGGAAUUAUUGGGCGUAAAGAGCUCGUAGGCGGUUUGUCACGUCGGGUGUGAAAGCCCGGGGCUUAACCCCGGGUCUGCAUUCGAUACGGGCAGACUAGAGUGUGGUAGGGGAGAUCGGAAUUCCUGGUGUAGCGGUGAAAUGCGCAGAUAUCAGGAGGAACACCGGUGGCGAAGGCGGAUCUCUGGGCCAUUACUGACGCUGAGGAGCGAAAGCGUGGGGAGCGAACAGGAUUAGAUACCCUGGUAGUCCACGCCGUAAACGUUGGGAACUAGGUGUUGGCGACAUUCCACGUCGUCGGUGCCGCAGCUAACGCAUUAAGUUCCCCGCCUGGGGAGUACGGCCGCAAGGCUAAAACUCAAAGGAAUUUGACGGGGGGUCGC
RNAcentral lists this ribosomal RNA (827 nucleotides) under Streptomyces sp. RNAcentral's name for it is "bacterial SSU rRNA". It matches the Rfam family "Bacterial small subunit ribosomal RNA", at positions 85 to 924 of the family's 1533-position model. Lineage: Bacteria; Bacillati; Actinomycetota; Actinomycetes; Kitasatosporales; Streptomycetaceae. The record is from RNAcentral.